Molecule: ribosomal RNA, 253 nt
Filed under: uncultured bacterium
Lineage: Bacteria
Description: partial 16S ribosomal RNA
Rfam family: Bacterial small subunit ribosomal RNA
Source: RNAcentral
UACGUAGGGUGCGAGCGUUGUCCGGAUUUAUUGGGCGUAAAGAGCUCGUAGGCGGCUCGUCGCGUCAGCUGUGAAAACCCGCAGCUUAACUGUGGGCUUGCAGCUGAUACGGGCGGGCUAGAGUUCGGUAGGGGAGACUGGAAUUCCUGGUGUAGCGGUGAAAUGCACAGAUAUCAGGAGGAAUACCGGUGGCGAAGGCGGGUCUCUGGGCCGAUACUGACGCUGAGGAGCGAAAGCGUGGGGAGCGAACAGG